GGCAGGCCUAACACAUGCAAGUCGAAGAGGCUCUUCGAUAGCGGCGGACGGGUGAGUAAUGCCUAGGAAUCUGCCUAGUAGUGGGGGACAACGUUUCGAAAGGANCGCUAAUACCGCAUNCGUCCUACGGGAGAAAGACCUCACGCUAUUAGAUGAGCCUAGGUCGGAUUAGCUAGUUGGUAGGGUAAAGNCCUNCCAAGGCGACGAUCCGUAACUGGUCUGAGAGGAUGAUCAGUCACACUGGAACUGAGACACGGUCCAGNNUNCUACGGGAGGCAGCAGUGGGGAAUAUUGGACAAUGGGCGAAAGCCUGAUCCANNCAUNCCGCGUGUGUGAAGAAGGCCUUCGGGUCGUAAAGCACUUUAAGUUGGGAGGAAG
This 378-nucleotide ribosomal RNA is filed under the name Pseudomonas sp. CaAH12. RNAcentral describes it as "partial 16S rRNA". It matches the Rfam family "Bacterial small subunit ribosomal RNA", at positions 41 to 450 of the family's 1533-position model. The record is from RNAcentral. Lineage: Bacteria; Pseudomonadati; Pseudomonadota; Gammaproteobacteria; Pseudomonadales; Pseudomonadaceae.